UCUUAAACACAUACAACUCUUAAUAAACAAAAAUCAUAAUCUUUCAAUCAUAAUCAAUCUUCCAAUAACUUCUGAUAUAAUUCAAUCACAUACUACUCCAAUUACAUAAUCAAUAACUCAUAAAUCAAUCUUUGAUUUAUUCCACAGAUUCACUUCUUAGUAUUCAAAAACUAUCCAUUACUCUUCAAUAACAAAGAAAACAAAGAGAAUAAAGAGGUAGCACCAAACUUAACCCCAAUUCAUGACUAUCACAGUCUGGCAUCCCAACAAACUUCUACAACUCCUAUAUAUAUGCUAUUGAUUUCCAAAUCCUAACCGUAAUCUUGUAAUAAACCACUGUUGGAGUAGAGAGAGUUUG
Molecule: long non-coding RNA, 358 nt
Filed under: Physcomitrium patens
Lineage: Eukaryota; Viridiplantae; Streptophyta; Bryopsida; Funariales; Funariaceae
Description: long non-coding RNA (PPAT_LNC008292)
Source: RNAcentral